RNAcentral lists this ribosomal RNA (497 nucleotides) under uncultured bacterium. RNAcentral describes it as "partial 16S ribosomal RNA". It matches the Rfam family "Bacterial small subunit ribosomal RNA", at positions 28 to 507 of the family's 1533-position model. The record is from RNAcentral.
GAUGAACGCUGGCGGCGUGCCUAAUACAUGCAAGUCGAGCGAACGGACGAGAAGCUUGCUUCUCUGAUGUUAGCGGCGGACGGGUGAGUAACACGUGGAUAACCUACCUAUAAGACUGGGAUAACUUCGGGAAACCGGAGCUAAUACCGGAUGAUAUUUUGAACCGCAUGGUUCAAAAGUGAAAGACGGUCUUGCUGUCACUUAUAGAUGGAUCCGCGCUGCAUUAGCUAGUUGGUAAGGUAACGGCUUACCAAGGCAACGAUGCAUAGCCGACCUGAGAGGGUGAUCGGCCACACUGGAACUGAGACACGGUCCAGACUCCUACGGGAGGCAGCAGUAGGGAAUCUUCCGCAAAGGGCGAAAGCCUGACGGAGCAGCGCCGCGUGAGUGAUGAAGGUCUUCGGAUCGUAAAACUCUGUUAUUAGGGAAGAACAUAUGUGUAAGUAACUGUGCACAUCUUGACGGUACCUAAUCAGAAAGCCACGGCUAACUACGUG